Molecule: RNA transcript, 2789 nt
Organism: Chelonus insularis
Lineage: Eukaryota; Metazoa; Arthropoda; Insecta; Hymenoptera; Braconidae
Exons: 12
Source: RefSeq, a predicted model, not a curated record
GCACACAUUUCCAUGUUCUUUCUGUCAAACUUGUUUAUUGUGUGUUUAUUAAAAUUUAUAAACAUCAAUAUUAAUAGUUAACAGAAUAUUUAAAUAUUAAAUUAUUUGUUAGAAAUUAAAAAUAUUGAAUCAAAGAAACAAUUGAAAUAUUGUUAUUUUAUUAUUUUGUGGAUAGUUUUUAAUUAUGAGAGUUUAUUAAUUGUUAUUUAAUUAUGUUAAUAAGUGACUUCCUGUCGUGACUGUAGUGGUUAAUUGAAUGCUAAGAAACUUGACAAAGUUUUGAAUUAGUUAUAGAGGAUUUUCAUUGAUAAUUAAUGUGCAUCGUGAAUGACCUGUGCUGUGAUGGAUGAAGUUAUUAUCGCUAGAGGCAAUUGGUUAAAAAUAUCUGAUGUAAUAACAGUUGAUGGAAGCCGAAAAUGUAGUUUUUAUCAUUUCCAACGGAUAUUCAACAACUAAAAAUUAUUUGAAACAGUAAUGAAGAUGGCAGAGGGUUGAUAAAGAAACAUUGAACUCUUGGAGAUGCGGCAGCUGAGAAAAUCUAUUGCCUCGAUCGCCAUCCUCGGGGCUGUUCUAGCGAUGGCGUUAUCAGAGAUGGAAGACGAGAAGCAUUCUGCUGUUGGAGAUGCUGGACAUCGAAAAGAGAUAAGCAACGAGAGUUCUUUAGAGUCUACUUCUCAGAGAUGUGGUAAACAAGAUGGAAUAGAAUCUGAGCAGCAUGAAAAUAAUCAUACCAGAGAAAUAAAAACUGAUCAAUUGAAGAUGUUUGAAAAUCAUGAAUGUAAAAAUAGAACACAACCAUUAUCAACAUUAAAGAAGAAAAACGAUUCCCUGUCAAGGAUUAAAUCCGAUGGGAGUUCAAUGAUUCCAUCUCAAGAGUUCAUGGAGAAUGAUAGGAUUCGAGAUAAUCAGAGUUUAAAGGUAGAAGAUGUAGCAGAAAAUCACACAAAUUUUCUGACUACGAUAGACAGCUAUAAACUUUUAGUUGAUGAAGCAGCGAAAAUAGCAGCAGACGUUUCACAUCUUGAGGGCAGAGAAGCAAGUAAUGAAACAAUUGAAGAUGAAGUUGAUGUCCGUCAUGAAAAGAAACAAGACUUAUCGAUGUUUCCCCGAAGACUAGAGAACCAAUUAGUAGAUCUUGACAGAAUAAGAAAACCUACGUCUUCUUCUGAACUAAUAACUCAAGUACGAAGUGCUAAACACAUAACUUUCUCUACCACCUCAGAGUUUGCUAGAAACUCUUCGUUUGCUCGAGGCUCUAACGACACAACUGGAUUAGAAGACGAAACUCUCGAAUCCCCGCUGGUGGUUUCUCCACCUCAAAUACUUCCAUCAGGUACAAGGUUUUCUACCAAAGAAAAAUCUCCAGAUGGAUUCAUGAUAGAAAGCAAGUUACCAUACCUCAAAAAAGACUAUUCAAAGCCAUCGAUCAACUUGGUGGAUGGUAAAGCAAGUAAAGUUUUCUAUGAGAUUAAACCUUCAUUGAAUACAGCCAUGCAAGAUAGAGACGAUGAUGUUGAUAUUGAAAAAGCUAAUGGCCCGAUGAUAGUAACAACAAGAAGGAGCUUUUUAUCAGCUUUUAAAAUUCCAAGUUUACCCAGUUCUUUUGGAAAAUUUGGGCCUUAUUUUUUGGAUGAUGCUGAUGAUCACAAUAUCACGGAGAGAAUUGGUAGCACAGUAAUGCUCAACUGUAGAAUUGGACUAUUGGGAGAUAAAAAGGUGACCUGGUUGCAGCACGUUAAGGAUUCUAUUCGGCUUCUGACCGUAGGCAACGUGCAAUACAGUGCAGAUGAAAGGAUCAGUUUAAAAUUCCAAUAUCCUGAUAAUUGGAGAUUGCAAAUUGCAUAUGCUACUCUUCGGGAUAGUGGAUUAUACAAGUGCCAAGUUGAAAUUGAUCCGACACAUUCUCUCGUCAAAAAAUACAAUGUCGUUAUCACAGCUCCAAUAUUGAAUAUCACAGAUGACUCUGGUCGAGUAAUAUCCGGUGAAAGGCACCUCAAAGCCGGAAGUGCUCUAAAACUAAGGUGCGAGGGUAGGGAUAUACUCGAAAGCCUGAAUGAGUCUUUGCUCUGGACUAAAGGAGACGAAACCCUCACAUCUAAUGUCAGUGAAAACAGAACGACUAAAAUAGUAGCUGAUAAAGAGAUUCCAGUGAUUGUCAGUACACUGAUAGUGGAAAGAGCUACACCACGGCACGCCGGAAACUACAGUUGCACCGUGCCGGAAAGAGCCAAGACCACCAUAGCUGUUCAUGUUCUGAAUGGGGAACUUCCAGCUGCUGUGCAUCAUGGGAAUGGUGUUUCCAGAGCUGUACUUAAUUUUUGGUUAAUUCAUUUGACUGUGAGUUCUGGAUUUUUUAGAUGACAAUAUUAAGGUUUAUUUAUAAUAUUUAAAAUAUUUAAUUGAAAACAAAACCAACUAUUAGCACGUUUCAAGAAGUGUAAAAUUAAAGAUUAUAUUCUAUUUCACAUUAUUGCCCGACUAUUCGUCAGUUUUACUACUGAUCACAAAAAAUAAACGAUCUUGUGAAGACUAUUGGACUUUCAUCAAAUAAAAUUUUUAUCGGACUUACUAUAAAAUCCGAAAAAUACGCUAAAUUACAAAACUUUUAUGAUGACGAUUAUGUCAAACUAAAAGCUCUCGAUGCCUUGAAAAUGCCAAGAUUUUUCUUACUGCCUCCUUAUUCUUUCUUUCUAAUCCAAGUUUUCGAUGAGUUUUAAGGAUCAGUCCUUUAGUAGUAAUCGAGUUAUAAAAAGCUUGUAUAAAGUUUUCUUGGGGUUAACGCAAGAGCU